GAAUGAAUGAAUGGGUACUAAGUCCUAAAUUGGAAACACAAAGAUACAGAAGAGAUUUCAUUCCAAAGAAAUGUGCCAAUGACGAAGACCAGCCUGGACCUCCAAAAGCCACAGCCUAGGAGCACAGUACCUGGUGCACAGAAGGACCUACCUCAAUUCAAUUAAAGUGACUAAUAGAGCCGGCAGCAUUUGCCCUGGAAUAGGCAGGACAUCAUCAGGGACUCAGUUGCAGCUGUGGAACCACCAGCACCACCAAGGAUAUCCACAAUGUACUAAAAGAGAAACUCUAAGUAGAAAAAACACACAAAAAGCAUUAUAUCCAU
This 323-nucleotide long non-coding RNA is filed under the name Suricata suricatta (meerkat). RNAcentral describes it as "lncRNA (ENSSSUG00005001348.1)". Lineage: Eukaryota; Metazoa; Chordata; Mammalia; Carnivora; Herpestidae. The record is from RNAcentral.